This 461-nucleotide unclassified non-coding RNA is filed under the name Hevea brasiliensis (rubber tree). Lineage: Eukaryota; Viridiplantae; Streptophyta; Magnoliopsida; Malpighiales; Euphorbiaceae. The record is from RNAcentral.
CAUUCAGUCUUGUCUUCAUAUCCACAGCUGAUAACAUGGAUUGCUUCCUUUAAAAGAGUUGCAGGAUUGGUUGAUGGUGGAAUACCUCCCUGUUCCAUGAAGGUGGCUGCAAUGAAAACUGGUGACUGACCAAAACGCUUUUCUAGACUCUUCUGAGACAUAAGAAGAGACCUCUCAUCAUCAUAUCCUUCAACGCCCUCCUCAAUAUCUUCCAUAUUGAAAAUGGGAACGGGAACAGUGGAUUCAGUUCUCUUCACUGCCCUCUUCUUGUCAAUAUACUUCUUACUACCACUUCUUCCUUUCUUUCUUGAUCCACAACAACUCUUGACAAUAAUGUUUGGUUCCAAAUCUUCCUCAGUCAAAACUGGAUCAUAACCAUAUAGAGCUUGCCUAUUGAAACAACAACCAGUUCCCACAUAGACCGGACCCUGGAUGCCAUCUAGCCCUUUCAAGUUGAUAUC